This 67-nucleotide transfer RNA is filed under the name uncultured Niameybacter sp. It matches the Rfam family "tRNA", at positions 6 to 65 of the family's 71-position model. Rfam says of the family: Transfer RNA (tRNA) molecules are approximately 80 nucleotides in length. Their secondary structure includes four short double-helical elements and three loops (D, anti-codon, and T loops). Further hydrogen bonds mediate the characteristic L-shaped molecular structure. tRNAs have two regions of fundamental functional importance: the anti-codon, which is responsible for specific mRNA codon recognition, and the 3' end, to which the tRNAs corresponding amino acid is attached (by aminoacyl-tRNA synthetases). tRNAs cope with the degeneracy of the genetic code in two manners: having more than one tRNA (with a specific anti-codon) for a particular amino acid; and 'wobble' base-pairing, i.e. permitting non-standard base-pairing at the 3rd anti-codon position. Lineage: Bacteria; Bacillati; Bacillota; Clostridia; Lachnospirales; Lachnospiraceae. The record is from RNAcentral.
GGGAUAGCUCAGUUGGUUAGAGCGCCAGAUUGUGGCUCUGGAGGCCGUGGGUUCGAAUCCCAUUCUU